Molecule: long non-coding RNA, 2370 nt
Filed under: Homo sapiens (human)
Lineage: Eukaryota; Metazoa; Chordata; Mammalia; Primates; Hominidae
Description: non-protein coding LINC01133:11
Source: RNAcentral
GAAAAGCUGGUCCUGCUGUGGUGGAGAGAAUGGAGGAAAGAUAAUAAAAGGCCAAACCUUUGCUCCAACUUUCUCCUUAGCUUCCCUUUGGAUCUGGAAAGCUGGGGACCCACACGGCAGAGCCAUGGUACUGGAGGAGCCAUUAACAACGAGGCUCCUUCUGUAAGGUUGCCUGGAUACUGCAUCUGGCUGACAGAGUCCCCAGACAGAACUUGAAUAGGCACUGCCAGGGUGUGUACUUCUAUGACUCUCCUUUUGCAAUGGGCCCACACCACCCACCUCAUUUUUCUAAUAAGAGCUUUCAAUAAACCUCUCUUUCUUGAAGUUACCUGAGAAUGGAUCCAUUCCCUGCAACUGAAGAUUCUAAGGAACUGGGUUUCUCAGUAUACAAUGGGAAUGGUUGGGAGGAGGUAAAGAGUAGAAGACAGUAUCAAGAAUCCAGAGCCCAGCACCUGUAGUCCUAACUAUUCAGAUUCCUUGAGCCCAGGAGUUUGAGUCCAGCCUGGACAACAUAUUGAGACCCCCAUCUCUCUAAAAAAAAAGAGAAAGAAAGAAGGAAAGAAAAAAAGAAAGAAAGAAAGAAAGAAAGAAAGAAAGAAAGAAAGAAAGAAAGAGAAAGAAAGAAGGAAAGAAGGAAAGAAGGAAAGAAAGAAAGAAAGAGAAAGAAAGAAAAGAAGAUUGUAGCUAGGGGGAGAGUAGGUGAAAAGAUGAACAACAUGACCGGGAAGAUUUCCUAAUCUCACCACAGCCUGGCUCUACCUUAAGUCUUUAAUAAAAGCUUGACUGAAGGUACCAAGGUGUGCUGAAGUGGAAGCAAAGUUCUCCAAAGUCCAGCAUGGUAGACAUCAGUGGUGGUAACCAAGGACAGACCCCAAGGCAAGGUGAACCUCAAAAAUGGAACCUCAAGUCUAUGCAGUCCAGCUGCCCUCCCCACCAGAAAGUCCUUGUUCCAGCCCAACAUCAGUGCCUCUGAGUUUGUUUACUAGAAACAAAGGAAGAAUUUCCUUGUAAAAAUAUAGACAGAGUAGUCCCUGGCUUUCUCCUCUUGCAGGAAGGAUGGAUUCUCCCAUUCCAUACCAUCUUUCCCCCACACUGGCCCCAGAAAUACUUAAUUCAACUAUGUGAAAAUAAAGAUUGUUUUUGGUUUGAGGGCAUAGGGAUCCAUUUAUCCUUAUUCUUUAUGAGGCACUAAAUUAGCUUUGUAUGUUAUUAAAUGUGUCUCGUCAAUGCUGUUGGCAUUGUUUCAUUUUAACUUCUAUUUGGUAAUGUUCAAUUUUCUGAAUGUGUGGAUCACUUAGCAUGAGCAGAAAACCCUGCAAAAGUGGUGGAGGUAAGGAAAGGUUGUAAUAAUGGUUACAAAGCAGGAGCAGCAUAAGGCUACCUAGGUGGUACGGUUUGAGUUGUUUUGGGAAAGCCCUUCUUAAUCACCUCUCUCUAGGACACCACCCCAACACACAUGAAAUUCCGCUGAUGUCUUUUUGGUUGCCACUAUGUUCCCCAAGUUCUUUUAAUAUGCAAACACUGGUAGGAAAAUAAGAAGAAAUCACAUCAUAUCUCUGUUUAGAAACUGGUCUAAGAUGUUUAUAAAUGUUCAGAAAAAAUGUAAAUCUCCUUGGGUAAGCAGGCUUAGAUGAAACUAUGAGCUCAUGUUGGCAAAUGUGCAAGCUUUAGCAUUUAAGCCAAGUGCUUUAAAUCAAUCUGAGCUUCAAAAGGCAAUAGUUAAAAGUCAAGGUACGGUAGACAAAAAAAAUAUUUUCUUGACUGGAAGAGAUCUUCAUGAGACUCUUUACCAUGAAUUACCUAGAGAAAAUAACGUAAGGCAAUCUUUUUUUUUUUUUUCACUUUAAUUCAACUCAACAAAGAUGUAUUUAAUUCUACUAUAUGUAAGUAAAACUGAAGACAUAGAGUUGCAUAAAACAGUUCUGUCCCCAGACAGUCUAGCCAUGCAGGACAAAACACGUAUGGAGACACAAAGCGAAGUGUCAGGUUGCUGUGAGAGUUUAAAGAAGGGAGAUAGCCCAUCCUGUUGGAGGUCUCACCAAUAGCAUUGAGAAGGGAUUUGGAGGCAGCCAUAAAUUAAUAAACUGUACAUGAAGGAACUGGCUCAGAGAUUGAAAAUCACAGGACGUUUUAGGAAACUUUGGGUGGUGAGGUCUGGAUGGAGCACAGAAUCGGCGUGGGGAGUUAGAGGAAAAUUAGGGUCGGGGAGAAGAUUGGGAUGCUCUGAGCAAAACCAAGGCAAAGGAAGUUUAAGGCCAAUCAGCAACGUGUGUCUUCCAUCCUUUUCCUUUUCUUCUGCUGUGGAGGGUUCAUCCCUCUCCAGCCAACAGAACAAUGAUUCUGAACACACUCCCAAGAGGGACUUCUGGG